CGCAUGAAAGUGUGGCUAAUACGGGUUAUUCUGGGUCUGUCGCAUGGUGGGCCUGGGAAAGGUUUGUUCCGGUGGGGGUUGGGCUCGCGGCCUAUCAGCUUGUUGGUGGGGUGAUGGCCUACCAAGGCGGUGACGGGUAGCCGGCCUGAGAGGGUGGACGGUCACACUGGGACUGAGACACGGCCCAGACUCCUACGGGAGGCAGCAGUGGGGAAUAUUGCACAAUGGGCGCAAGCCUGAUGCAGCGACGCCGCGUGAGGGAUGGAGCC
This 269-nucleotide ribosomal RNA is filed under the name Actinomyces viscosus. RNAcentral describes it as "partial 16S ribosomal RNA". It matches the Rfam family "Bacterial small subunit ribosomal RNA", at positions 148 to 415 of the family's 1533-position model. The record is from RNAcentral. Lineage: Bacteria; Bacillati; Actinomycetota; Actinomycetes; Actinomycetales; Actinomycetaceae.